This 89-nucleotide transfer RNA is filed under the name Actinoplanes derwentensis. RNAcentral describes it as "tRNA-Ser". The record is from RNAcentral. Lineage: Bacteria; Bacillati; Actinomycetota; Actinomycetes; Micromonosporales; Micromonosporaceae.
GGGCGCUGUGGCCCACGCUGGUGCCGCCGGGGCUGCUGCCCGCGGCGAUGACCUGCUCGUCGGUGAUGUUCGAGGCGCCGGUGCUGGCC